CUCUCUCCUCACAGCGGUCACUUGCUGAGCAGCUUCUAGCUACCUUCCACGCUACUCAAGCUGCUGCGCGUUCCGCCGGCGAUGCCCAGCUCCCGCCGAACCACCGCCCGCGGCGGCGGGGCCGCGCCUCCGCCUGCACGCGGAGACGCAGAGGACGACGCGCGGGUGCCGCCCUUCACGGGGAACAACACCGACCACAACCCCCGGGAGCUGCGUUCCUGGGCCCGCCGCACCGGCUUCCACCCCUCCGCCUUCUUCUCCGGCGAGUCCGCGGUCUCCAACUCCUCCACCGCCACCGCGCGUCCCCCGCCGCCUCCGCCUCCCCCGGCAUCCUCCCGCCGCCCGCCCCGCCCUCCCGCGGCUGCGGAGGACGACCCCGAUCCCGCGCCGCCGCUCGACCUCGACCGUCGCGGCCACCAAGUCCGACCUCGCCGCCGCAUCGACCUCCGCGGCGAGCUCGAGAUCCCGCCCGCCGCCGGCCCCGUCGAGGUGCCAGCGCAGGCAGAACCGGCGAGGAGGAGGGACGGCGUCGAGCGCCUGCUCGGCGAGAGGGCGGCGCUCAAUGUGGGCAGGAGCGCCAACGGCGUGCGCGCCGACGUGGAUGCGGAUACGAGUGCGAGGAAGAAGGCGGAGGAGGCGGAGGCGAAGCGAAAGGCUGAGGAGGCAGAGGCGAGGAAGAAAAAGGAGGAUGAGGAGAGGGACGCGGAGCUGGCCGCGUACUACCAGCAGCAGUGGGCCAACGAGGAGGACGGUGUUGCCAACGGUGUCCACGGCGAGGAGACGGCGCCUCUUAAUCGGCCAUCAGGGCUCCGCUGCGGCGUCUCCGAGAACCCCGGGUGGGCACUCCUCGUAUUUUAUGGCAUACAACACUACUUGUCAAUAGCCGGUUCGCUUGUUUUUAUUCCUUUGAUAUUGGUACCAACCAUGGGUGGAUCGGAUGUGGACACAGCAACAGUCAUUUCCACCAUGUUAUUAGUGUCUGGUCUUACAACAAUACUUCAUACUUUUCUUGGUUCUCGGCUUCCAUUGAUUCAAGGAAGUUCUUUUGUAUAUUUGGCUCCUGCAUUGGUGAUCGUGAACUCUGAGGAGUUCAGAAACCUUAGUGAAGAUAAAUUCAAGCACAUAAUGAGGGAGUUACAGGGGGCUAUACUUGUUGGUUCAGUUUUCCAAAUAAUUUUGGGGUACAGUGGUCUCAUGUCACUGCUGUUGAGAUUGAUAAACCCAGUCGUCGUGGCACCAACUAUUGCUGCAGUGGGUUUGGCGUUUUUCAGUUAUGGUUUCCCUCAUGCUGGUAGUUGUGUAGAAAUAAGCAUGCCCCUCAUUGUAUUGCUUCUUCUGUGCACCCUGUACAUGAGAAAAAUAUCCCUGUUUGGAAACCAUAUCUUCCUCAUCUAUGCAGUACCACUCAGUGUUGGCAUUAUAUGGGUGUAUGCAUUCUUCCUAACUGCUGGUGGUGCAUACAACUUCAAGGGCUGCAGUUCAAGUAUACCCAGUUCGAAUAUAUUAUUGGAUUCAUGCAGAAGACAUGCAGAGAUUAUGAGGCGUUGUCGAACUGAUGUUUCUAAUGCUUGGAGAAGUGCUGCCUGGGUGAGGGUUCCGUAUCCAUUGCAGUGGGGCCCUCCUACAUUUCAUUUCAAAACAGCUAUCAUUAUGGUGAUAAUUUCAGUGGUUGCAUCAGUUGAUUCACUUUCCUCAUAUCAUGCUGCUUCGUUGCUAGUCAAUUUAAGCCCUCCAACACGUGGAGUUGUUAGCAGAGGGAUUGGCCUUGAGGGGAUUUGUACUUUUAUCGCCGGACUAUGGGGUACAGGAACUGGGUCGACAACAUUAACAGAGAACAUCCAUACCCUUGACACAACCAAAAUGGCCAGCAGAAGAGCUUUGCAGCUUGGGGGAGCCUUGCUGGUCAUUUUUUCUCUCUUUGGAAAAAUCGGAGCUCUCCUUGCUUCUAUCCCUGUUGCUUUGGCCGCCUCUGUUCUUUGCUUCACCUGGGCUCUUAUUGUCGCACUUGGCUUAUCCACAUUGAGAUAUACCGAAGCUGUAAGCUCAAGGAACAUGAUAAUCGUUGGUUUUACCCUGUUCAUCUCCCUGUCCAUCCCCGCAUACUUUCAGCAAUAUGAACCCAGCUCCAAUCUCAUUCUACCGGGCUAUCUUGUUCCGUACGCUGCAGCUUCGAGCGGACCAGUUCGCACUGCCAGUGAUGGGCUAAAUUAUGCAGUGAAUGCUCUUCUAUCCAUCAAUGUUGUGGUGGCUCUAGUUGUUGCAAUAAUCCUUGACAACACGGUGCCGGGAAGCAAGCAAGAACGAGGGGUAUACAUCUGGUCAGAUCCUAAGUCCCUGGAGUUGGAUCCUGCAUCUCUGGAACCUUAUCGGUUACCAAAGAAGAUAUCAUGCUGGUUCAGAUGGGCCAAGUGCGUUGGCUUUUAACAUAGCAUGGCUCCACUCCCCUGCACUGGUAGUGCCUGCUGGGAGGUAGGGAUGCAAAGAUGCUAUUCAGGAGGAAAUUCCCAGUGAACGCUCUCGUAACCACAAGACCCAGAUUGCACGGAUGGCAGUUUCUCAAGAAAUUUGCCUCAAAACAAAUGAACUGCCAUGCACAACAAUAAAAAAGUCGUCUUGAUCAUUCGCAAAACGUUCCUUGGGGAUUCAGGCCCAAAUUUAAAUUAGUUAUGGAUUGAAGGGAGUAGGAAACUGUAAAGCACGACUAAAAUUUAGCAGGUCGAUAUUUUCCUGGAAGUUGCAGAGUCGAUAUGAAUGCUUGUUCACAGGGAACAGAAAACACAUCUCUGCAGUUUACAGUAAGCUUGUAUAGCUAGGGUACAACAAUGCUUCGAUGAUAGUUCUCAUCACGUUUGAGAA
This is an RNA transcript of Triticum aestivum (bread wheat), 2856 nucleotides long. It is a transcript of the gene named nucleobase-ascorbate transporter 11, with no coding region annotated. The transcript is spliced from 11 exons. The record is from RefSeq and is a predicted model, not a curated record. NCBI's taxonomy places the organism in Eukaryota, Viridiplantae, Streptophyta, Magnoliopsida, Poales, Poaceae.